AAUCAACGCUGGCGGCGUGCCUAACACAUGCAAGUCGAACGCGAGAGGGGCUUCGGCCCUGAUUGAGUGGCAAACGGGUGAGUAACGCGUGGGUGACCUACCUUCGAGUGGGGGAUAACGUUCCGAAAGGGACGCUAAUACCGCAUAACAUCCUGUCUUUGGACAGAUGGAGAUCAAAGCCGGGGAUCGUAAGACCUGGCGCUUGAGGAGGGGCCCGCGUCCGAUUAGCUAGUUGGUGGGAAUGGCUCACCAAGGCAACGAUCGGUAGCCGGCCUGAGAGGGCGGACGGCCACACUGGGACUGAGACACGGCCCAGACUCCUACGGGAGGCAGCAGUGGGGAAUUGUUCGCAAUGGGCGCAAGCCUGACGACGCAACGCCGCGUGAAGGAUGAAGGUCUUCGGGAUUGUAAACUUCUGUUGAUCGGGACGAACAGCCAAGGGAUCAAUACCCCUUUGGCCUGACGGUACCGAGUUGAGGAACGCCCCGGCUAACUCUGUGCCAGCAGCCGCGGUAAC
Molecule: ribosomal RNA, 517 nt
Filed under: uncultured bacterium
Lineage: Bacteria
Description: bacterial SSU rRNA
Rfam family: Bacterial small subunit ribosomal RNA
Source: RNAcentral